This is a non-coding RNA of Oryza glumipatula, 193 nucleotides long. The record is from Rfam. NCBI's taxonomy places the organism in Eukaryota, Viridiplantae, Streptophyta, Magnoliopsida, Poales, Poaceae.
GUUUAGUUAGUUUUAUACUGUUUAUAUCAAACGAUUGACCAUCCGACUUAUUUGAAAUUUUUUUAUGAUUAGUAUUUUUAUUGUUAUUAGAUGAUAAAACGUGAAUAGUACUUUAUGUGCGAUUACUUUUUAAUUUUUUAAAAUAAGACGGACGGUCAAACGUUUGACACGGAUACCCACAGCUGUACUUAUU